This is a long non-coding RNA of Lolium perenne, 1095 nucleotides long. RefSeq lists it as uncharacterized. The record is from RefSeq and is a predicted model, not a curated record. NCBI's taxonomy places the organism in Eukaryota, Viridiplantae, Streptophyta, Magnoliopsida, Poales, Poaceae.
AAAAUCAGCGAACUCGCUGGGUUGGGUGCGGCCGGCAAUCCACAAGUCCGACGCCGGCGUCCUUGCGAGAUAUCCACCUCCUCCCCUCCGCCGCCCCUCCCGUACAUGUCCUGGCCGCGCUCCCUUGGCCGGCGACGACAUCCUCGGUCGCUAAGGCGGUCGAUUCUGGGGAAGCGCAACAUCGGCGCCCUCUUCCCGGCCCGCGGCGCCCUUGGCCUCACCACUGAUUGAAGAUGGUGCUCGCCGCCCUCUUCGCACGCAAAGAAGCCCGAGGUAUUCACAGUGGUCCGGGUGCGUUGCGUGGCGGUCAUCGCGUCGCGGCGCCCGUGCUGGCUCGGCGGUGGCGCAUGAGAUUGGAGGAGGCCGACGAUGUGAGGCGUCGCCCGCGCGUCGUCUUCUCCCGCGUCGGUCCUUCGCGGUGGUCGUCCUCGGCAUCCAGACCGUGGUGGACUGCGAGCUGGACAGGAAUUCGUCCCUAGCGACAAGACGGGGUUCGGCGUGCAGUUCUCGUCGCAUAGGGGUUCAGCGGCGAGGUGGCCACAACAACCAGGGGGCCGGCGCUCGUGCGGGUGCCAGGAAGGUGUGCCUGGGCUCUGGGCGACUGCCUGGUGGGUGGUGGCCAACAUUGGGUCACUGAGCGAGUGCCAGCUCUCUGAACAAGACACCGACAGGCUCCCUGUAAGGUACUUGCCAGCCAUCGGCACAUGCGGCGCCAGAUGUUCACUGGCUGUAUCUUAAGAAGGUGGCCUAGUUCAGCAGCAAUUAUGAAUGCUCGCUGAUCGCGUGUCAGCGAGUUGAUUAAUUUAAAGUACGCUUGCUGUGAGCAUCUCUACCCUGACGAUGAUGAAGACCUGAGCUGCAAGCACAAGUUUAAGACCUGGCGCAGCAAGAUUGACGGCACAGACCUGGAUUUCAUGGCGAUGCGUGAUUAGAAGUUGCUAUGAUCAGCUUUUCUCCGGUGUUUACUUGAAUUUGUCAUGUUUUAGACUAGCUGUUUUUAUCGAGUUUGGUACUAGUACUGUUUACUUCAAUUUUUCAUUCCGUUUGAUACAGAGAUCUUGUUAUUUAAUACUCCCUCUAGUCUGAUAAGAUUGA